GAUGUGGUUAUGCCCCAGGAGUAGGCAGUUACUUUGCUAAUCAACCACACACACUGUAACAACAGAAAGAAAAGCCACAAGAGCAUGGGAAGUCAUUAAAGCUUUUUUUCCACACGGAGAUCAGGAGUCACCAUUCACGGGUUUACCAGGCUUUCACUCAUGCUCUUCAUUUCUCCCUUGCCAUCAGCACAGGACAACUCAGAUGGCAGCUCUGGCUCUGGAAAGGAAUUACAUGUCAGGAAUGAAACCAAAAGAUGCAGUUAGAGAAUGAACAAAGACUUCGGGAUGCCUGGGUGGGUCAGUGGUCAAGCAUCUACCUUCAGCUCAG
Molecule: long non-coding RNA, 328 nt
Organism: Canis lupus familiaris (dog)
Lineage: Eukaryota; Metazoa; Chordata; Mammalia; Carnivora; Canidae
Exons: 3
Source: RefSeq, a predicted model, not a curated record